GUCUGUAUUUGUUUCCGUCGAAAUAAAAUGUAUUUUCUUCCAGAACUAUUUUGGUAGCCUCUAGUAUGAAGUUUGUUUCAAAUCUACUGUCAAUUUCAUCCCGUUUUUCUUCGAUCCAGUAUUUUACGGCUGUAAGACCUAGGGGAAUAUUUGUGUAUAGACUUGUAACAUCAAAGCUUGUUAAUAGUGUUUCUUCCGGAACUAUGGCAGGAAUGUGAUUUAAAAAUUCCAUAUCAUCUUUGAUAUAACUUGGUAUUGACGGACAU
RNAcentral lists this long non-coding RNA (266 nucleotides) under Mytilus galloprovincialis (Mediterranean mussel). The record is from RNAcentral. Lineage: Eukaryota; Metazoa; Mollusca; Bivalvia; Mytilida; Mytilidae.